Molecule: ribosomal RNA, 136 nt
Filed under: uncultured Trebouxiophyceae
Lineage: Eukaryota; Viridiplantae; Chlorophyta; Trebouxiophyceae
Description: partial small subunit ribosomal RNA
Rfam family: Eukaryotic small subunit ribosomal RNA
Source: RNAcentral
CGCCCGUCGCUCCUACCGAUUGGAUGUGCUGGUGAAGCGUUCGGAUUGGCGGUAUGCGGUGGUCUCCGCCGUGCAUCGCCGAAAAGUUCGUUAAACCCUCCCAUCUAGAGGAAGGAGAAGUCGUAACAAGGUCUCC